Molecule: ribosomal RNA, 253 nt
Filed under: uncultured bacterium
Lineage: Bacteria
Description: partial 16S ribosomal RNA
Rfam family: Bacterial small subunit ribosomal RNA
Source: RNAcentral
UACGAAGGGGGCUAGCGUUGCUCGGAAUGACUGGGCGUAAAGGGCGCGUAGGCGGCUCAUCCAGUCAGGCGUGAAAUUCCUGGGCUCAACCUGGGGACUGCGCUUGAGACGUGUGGGCUUGAGUGGGGAAGAGGGUCGUGGAAUUCCCAGUGUAGAGGUGAAAUUCGUAGAUAUUGGGAAGAACACCGGUGGCGAAGGCGGCGACCUGGUCCUUGACUGACGCUGAGGCGCGAAAGCGUGGGGAGCAAACAGG